UUUUGGUUCAGCUUGCAGAUAAGAUGUGGUGGGAACUGAGAUUUCCACACUCAGACACGCUUCUGAGAUAUCACUGGGUUACCAAAGCUGCUUGAUUUACGAGGAAGUUGGAGUAAAGCACGGGAUACCUGGACUAAUUACCUGAAGAAGGCAGCCCGAGGUGCUGAUCAGCAUCCAGCACCAGCUGGCAGGUAAAUUUCCAAGGCUUCUGUCCAGAAACAGGAAUGUGGAAAGCAUGGAGAAUAAACAACCUGUAAGCAUCAAAAUCUGCAAACAGACCUUUAUUCUCACUGCUGCAUCCAUUUCUGCCUUGAGGCAGUGAAGAGAGCUCCUCUUUGCUCUGCAUCCCUGCACAGUUCCACUGAAACUGAAUCAUCUCCAAUGUAUCUGCUAAACCCUGGCUAAAGACAAAAAGGUCUGAACACAGCAAG
This 431-nucleotide long non-coding RNA is filed under the name Junco hyemalis (dark-eyed junco). RNAcentral describes it as "lncRNA (ENSJHYG00000015518.1)". The record is from RNAcentral. Lineage: Eukaryota; Metazoa; Chordata; Aves; Passeriformes; Passerellidae.